This 253-nucleotide ribosomal RNA is filed under the name uncultured bacterium. Its description in RNAcentral is "partial 16S ribosomal RNA". It matches the Rfam family "Bacterial small subunit ribosomal RNA", at positions 524 to 776 of the family's 1533-position model. The record is from RNAcentral.
UACGUAGGGGGCAAGCGUUGUCCGGAAUCAUUGGGCGUAAAGCGCGUGUAGGCGGUUCGAUAAGUCUGCUGUGAAAGUCCAGGGCUCAACCCUGGAAAGCCGGUGGAUACUGUCGGACUAGAGUACGGAAGAGGCGAGUGGAAUUCCCGGUGUAGCGGUGAAGUGCGCAGAUAUCGGGAGGAACACCAAUUGCGAAGGCAGCUCGCUGGGACGUCACUGACGCUGAGACGCGAAAGCGUGGGGAGCAAACAGG